Molecule: transfer RNA, 67 nt
Filed under: Cryptonema producta
Lineage: Eukaryota; Metazoa; Mollusca; Bivalvia; Venerida; Veneridae
Description: tRNA-Ser
Source: RNAcentral
GGGCUUUAUUUUGGAAACUGGUUACUUUGAACUUAACUUAAGAGUGUUCGAAUCACUCAAAAGCCUA